Molecule: non-coding RNA, 107 nt
Organism: Capsicum annuum
Lineage: Eukaryota; Viridiplantae; Streptophyta; Magnoliopsida; Solanales; Solanaceae
Source: Rfam
UGAUGAUGGUGAGGGAAAUUUUGUAGCACACUCUUAAGUCUCUUCCAAGCUUGGUAGAGAUUCUCUUCUUCUUUUUGUCUGAAACUCAGAAUAUCACUUCUCAAACA